RNAcentral lists this ribosomal RNA (444 nucleotides) under uncultured Bacillota bacterium. RNAcentral describes it as "bacterial SSU rRNA". It matches the Rfam family "Bacterial small subunit ribosomal RNA", at positions 367 to 803 of the family's 1533-position model. The record is from RNAcentral. Lineage: Bacteria; Bacillati; Bacillota.
CGCAAUGGACGAAAGUCUGACGGAGCAACGCCGCGUGAACGAUGAAGGCUUUCGGGUCGUAAAGUUCUGUUGUCAGGGAAGAACAAGUAUCGGAGUAACUGCCGGUACCUUGACGGUACCUGACCAGAAAGCCACGGCUAACUACGUGCCAGCAGCCGCGGUAAUACGUAGGUGGCAAGCGUUGUCCGGAAUUAUUGGGCGUAAAGCGCGCGCAGGCGGUUCCUUAAGUCUGAUGUGAAAGCCCCCGGCUCAACCGGGGAGGGUCAUUGGAAACUGGGGAACUUGAGUGCAGAAGAGGAGAGCGGAAUUCCACGUGUAGCGGUGAAAUGCGUAGAGAUGUGGAGGAACACCAGUGGCGAAGGCGGCUCUCUGGUCUGUAACUGACGCUGAGGCGCGAAAGCGUGGGGAGCGAACAGGAUUAGAUACCCUGGUAGUCCACGCCGU